UGGCUCUCGCAUCGAUGAAGAACGCAGCGAAAUGCGAUAAGUAAUGUGAAUUGCAGAAUUCAGUGAAUCAUCGAAUCUUUGAACGCACCUUGCGCCCUCUGGCAUUCCAGAGGGCAUGCCUGUUUGAGUGUCAUGUGUUAAUAGCACCGUCGUGACUUUUUUGUUGCGAUGCAGUGGACUUGGAUGCCUGCCGCUGUCUGUGGCUCGUCCUUAAAAGCAUUAGCCUUGGCGGUUUGCCUCUGGCCUCAUUGGUGUGAUAGUCUAUCUACGCCUCUGGGUCAGGCCUGUCGGCUUACAAUUUGAGGCCGGAAACGGUUUCUCAAUUUUUUUUGCUUUGACCUCAAAUCAGGUAGGAUUACCCGCUGA
RNAcentral lists this unclassified non-coding RNA (366 nucleotides) under uncultured fungus. RNAcentral's name for it is "partial contains 5.8S ribosomal RNA and internal transcribed spacer 2". The stretch from base 1 to 133 matches the Rfam family "5.8S ribosomal RNA", at positions 22 to 154 of the family's 154-position model. Lineage: Eukaryota; Fungi. The record is from RNAcentral.